GAUGAACGCUGGCGGCGUGCCUAAUACAUGCAAGUCGAGCGAACAGACGAGGAGCUUGCUGCUCUGACGUUAGCGGCAGGCGGGUGAGUAACACGUGGAUAACCUACCUAUCAGACUGGGAUAACUUCGGGACACCGGAGCUAAUCCCGUAUAAUAUCUUGAUCCGCAUUGUUCAAUAGUGAAAGUCGGCUUUGCUGUCACUUCUCGCUGGAUCCCCGCGGCUUUAGCUAGUUGUUAGGGUCACGGCUUACCAAGGCAACGAUGCGUGGCCGAGGUGAGAGGGUGGUCGGCCACCCUGGAACGUAGACACGGUCCAGACGCCUACGGGAGGCAGCAGUAGGGAACCUGCCGCAAUGGUCGGAAGCAUGACGGAGCAGCGCCGAGUGAGUGAUGAAGGUCUUCGGAGCGUAAAACUCUGUUAUUAGGGAAGAACAAAUGUGUAAGGAACUAUGCACGUAUUGACGGUACCGAAUCAGAAAGCCACGGCUAACUACGUG
RNAcentral lists this ribosomal RNA (497 nucleotides) under uncultured bacterium. RNAcentral's name for it is "partial 16S ribosomal RNA". It matches the Rfam family "Bacterial small subunit ribosomal RNA", at positions 28 to 507 of the family's 1533-position model. The record is from RNAcentral.